AGGCGAACCCCCGAACCUACUUGUGCCCGUGCUCGUAGAUGUAGGGUCAUUAUCACGGAACCGGUUGUGAUGGCUGCCUGUCAGUCACGACUUAACUAAAGCAGGCUGGUCCUGGGGUGCGCUUUGCACGCCGUGCUGCCACAGGGCGAGAUUCAACGGCGAGCUAAGCAUGUAGUACCGGGGAUGGAGUGCCUUCGGACGGCGGUUCAAUUCCGCCCACCUCCACCA
Molecule: transfer-messenger RNA, 228 nt
Filed under: Stenotrophomonas sp.
Lineage: Bacteria; Pseudomonadati; Pseudomonadota; Gammaproteobacteria; Lysobacterales; Lysobacteraceae
Description: partial transfer-messenger RNA
Rfam family: transfer-messenger RNA
About the family: Bacterial tmRNA, also known as 10Sa RNA or SsrA, is named for its dual tRNA and mRNA-like properties. Its role is to liberate the mRNA from a stalled ribosome.
Source: RNAcentral